GAGUUUGAUCCUGGCUCAGGAUGAACGCUGGCGGCGUGCUUAACACAUGCAAGUCGAGCGAAGCAGUUAAGAAGAUUCCUCGGAUGAUUCUUGACUGACUGAGCGGCGGACGGGUGAGUAACGCGUGGGUGACCUGCCCCAUACCGGGGGAUAACAGCUGGAAACGGCUGCUAAUACCGCAUAAGCGCACAGAGCUGCAUGGCUCGGUGUGAAAAACUCCGGUGGUAUGAGAUGGACCCGCGUCUGAUUAGGUAGUUGGUGGGGUAACGGCCUACCAAGCCAACGAUCAGUAGCCGACCUGAGAGGGUGACCGGCCACAUUGGGACUGAGACACGGCCCAAACUCCUACGGGAGGCAGCAGUGGGGAAUAUUGCACAAUGGGGGAAACCCUGAUGCAGCGACGCCGCGUGAGCGAUGAAGUAUUUCGGUAUGUAAAGCUCUAUCAGCAGGGAAGAAAAUGACGGUACCUGACUAAGAAGCACCGGCUAAAUACGUGCCAGCCGCCGCGGUAAUAC
RNAcentral lists this ribosomal RNA (515 nucleotides) under uncultured bacterium. RNAcentral's name for it is "bacterial SSU rRNA". It matches the Rfam family "Bacterial small subunit ribosomal RNA", at positions 9 to 526 of the family's 1533-position model. The record is from RNAcentral.